Molecule: long non-coding RNA, 250 nt
Filed under: Gossypium raimondii (Peruvian cotton)
Lineage: Eukaryota; Viridiplantae; Streptophyta; Magnoliopsida; Malvales; Malvaceae
Description: long non-coding RNA (GRAI_LNC007668)
Source: RNAcentral
UUUGUUGUUCUCUACUUCCGUUAUUCCCGCCUAAUAGGGAAACAAACAAUCAUCUAUUAGAGGUUCUCACAACCCAUCACAUACUCAAUUCAAAUCAAAUUAUGAAAAGAAAAGGGAAAACUGUAGAAACGCACGAAUUGUUAGUGGCUUACUAGAUAGACUUUCGAUCAACGACUAAUAGCAAAAUUUCAACUAAUCCCAUAUCCUUUACGACCACGAUCAGCAAAAAUUAAAAGAAAAGAAAAAGAAC